This 813-nucleotide ribosomal RNA is filed under the name Bacillus amyloliquefaciens. RNAcentral's name for it is "bacterial SSU rRNA". It matches the Rfam family "Bacterial small subunit ribosomal RNA", at positions 542 to 1355 of the family's 1533-position model. The record is from RNAcentral. Lineage: Bacteria; Bacillati; Bacillota; Bacilli; Caryophanales; Bacillaceae.
UGUCCGGAAUUAUUGGGCGUAAAGGGCUCGCAGGCGGUUUCUUAAGUCUGAUGUGAAAGCCCCCGGCUCAACCGGGGAGGGUCAUUGGAAACUGGGGAACUUGAGUGCAGAAGAGGAGAGUGGAAUUCCACGUGUAGCGGUGAAAUGCGUAGAGAUGUGGAGGAACACCAGUGGCGAAGGCGACUCUCUGGUCUGUAACUGACGCUGAGGAGCGAAAGCGUGGGGAGCGAACAGGAUUAGAUACCCUGGUAGUCCACGCCGUAAACGAUGAGUGCUAAGUGUUAGGGGGUUUCCGCCCCUUAGUGCUGCAGCUAACGCAUUAAGCACUCCGCCUGGGGAGUACGGUCGCAAGACUGAAACUCAAAGGAAUUGACGGGGGCCCGCACAAGCGGUGGAGCAUGUGGUUUAAUUCGAAGCAACGCGAAGAACCUUACCAGGUCUUGACAUCCUCUGACAAUCCUAGAGAUAGGACGUCCCCUUCGGGGGCAGAGUGACAGGUGGUGCAUGGUUGUCGUCAGCUCGUGUCGUGAGAUGUUGGGUUAAGUCCCGCAACGAGCGCAACCCUUGAUCUUAGUUGCCAGCAUUCAGUUGGGCACUCUAAGGUGACUGCCGGUGACAAACCGGAGGAAGGUGGGGAUGACGUCAAAUCAUCAUGCCCCUUAUGACCUGGGCUACACACGUGCUACAAUGGACAGAACAAAGGGCAGCGAAACCGCGAGGUUAAGCCAAUCCCACAAAUCUGUUCUCAGUUCGGAUCGCAGUCUGCAACUCGACUGCGUGAAGCUGGAAUCGCUAGUAAUCGCGGAUCAGCAU